RNAcentral lists this ribosomal RNA (445 nucleotides) under uncultured bacterium. RNAcentral describes it as "partial 16S ribosomal RNA". It matches the Rfam family "Bacterial small subunit ribosomal RNA", at positions 354 to 796 of the family's 1533-position model. The record is from RNAcentral.
GUGAGGAAUAUUGCGCAAUGGAGGCAACUCUGACGCAGCCAUGCCGCGUGCAGGAAGAAGGCGCUACGCGUUGUAAACUGCUUUUAACCGGGAAGAAACCCCAGGACGUGUCCUGGGUUGACGGUACCGGAGGAAUAAGCACCGGCUAACUUCGUGCCAGCAGCCGCGGUAAUACGAAGGGUGCAAGCGUUAUCCGGAUUCAUUGGGUUUAAAGGGUGCGUAGGCGGAGCGUUAAGUCAGUGGUGAAAUCCUGCAGCUUAACUGUAGACUUGCCAUUGAUACUGGCGCUCUUGAGUGCGCUUGAAGUGGGCGGAAUGUGCAGUGUAGCGGUGAAAUGCUUAGAUAUGGCACAGAACACCAAUUGCGAAGGCAGCUCACUAAGGCGAUACUGACGCUGAGGCACGAAAGCGUGGGGAUCGAACAGGAUUAGAUACCCUGGUAGUCC